Molecule: long non-coding RNA, 148 nt
Organism: Chelonia mydas (Green sea turtle)
Lineage: Eukaryota; Metazoa; Chordata; Testudines; Cheloniidae
Exons: 3
Source: RefSeq, a predicted model, not a curated record
CACUCGUUCCCUACAGGACGCGCAUUCCGCUGGGGCAUACACUGGGCACUUGUUGUCCCUGCCUGUGGCUCCCACCACAGUAAGGGAAUCUGCUACUGGCAACUGAAGAGGCUGAUUUACGGCAGUUCGGGCCGCUCCAGAGUCCACU